This is a long non-coding RNA of Junco hyemalis (dark-eyed junco), 1891 nucleotides long. Lineage: Eukaryota; Metazoa; Chordata; Aves; Passeriformes; Passerellidae. The record is from Ensembl.
CUGAAAGAUGCUGGAACUUGAGCAGGACCGGGGGUUCUGAGGGGAGCCAGGGGCACUGAGGGUCACAGGAUUUGUCUGAAGGGAGCCUGCAGCUCGAGCCAGAUGUGCAAUCCUGACACAGAUCAGAGCACACACAGGUAAUGGUUGCAAAAACACACUUAGCUCCUUCUCAGUGUUACCACAACUCAACACCUCCCAAAAGUCCAGAGCCUUACUCAGACCAUGGCACGCUUUGCCUGGGACACAGCUGAAAUAUUCCAAAUACAAUGCACAAGAAGCAUUCAUCUCUGGGAUAAAUCUCACUUAGUGAAGUUUUUGGAACCAGUACAGUCAUGUCUUGGUAACAUGAAGAAAAUCAACAGAGAGAGCAGCCAGAUUCCCUUAAAAUGAUGUUUGGGAUACAAGUGGGCUUGUUGCCUUGCUCCUCCUGGAAGCAUCUCCUUUGGAGAGACUGAAUGUGGUAAAAUGUAAAAGGCUGCAGCACUUCCUGUGUUAAAAAAGCUGAUUUUUAAUGACCUGCUCUAUUACCAUCCCAGCAGACUGGGGUUUGUAUGUGCAGCUGGGAAUCUAUUUUUGUGCUCUGCAUGAGUAUUGGGGCAGGUUUCAGGGUUGGGACCUCAGAGAAGUAAAUCAAAACUAAAUCAAAACUCUGCUUAAGGACUCUAACUGUCUCCUGUGGAGCUUAAAGUCUCUUUUUAUUACUGGAAUGCUUUUUCACAGAACUGGAAGUUUAGUGUUUCUGAGGCUUUCCUAAGUGAGGGCAAGAGUUAUUACAGUAAAGGUAUAAUAUCAUUCUUUAUUACAGUUUUUUAUACCAUCCAGCUAACUUUCCUGAAUUCAUUGAUUAUUAUUUUCUCUGCUGAAACAGAUUCUGUUAUUAAUGGUUUGUAUCUUUUCAUGCCAGGCUGGAGGGGGCUUGGAACAACCUGGACUAGUGGAAGGCGUCCCUGCUGGUGCCAAGGCCAGCUGAAGGAUGAUAUUUUCCUUACUGGGACACAUGCCAUGUUCGUCUCCCGUACUUUUCUGGAAGACACCAACAUUUUCUCGUUUAUCCCCGCAGAGGUGGCAGCGCCGAUGCCCCGUUCAGGCUGGAAUGCCGAGGCUGCCUGCCCUCCUGACCCUGGGAGGGGUGCGGCAGUGCCAUUCGUGUCCCGCUGUCCCCGUCCUGCCCUUCCUGCAGCGCGCUGGGCGUGGGACGGGCGCCGAGAAUGGCGUGGGAGCGCAGGAAGCGCCGAUCAGGGCAAGGCGAGCGGGGAUGGCCCGUGAGGAGCCUCUGGUGCAGGAUGUCGGCAGGGUGCGGUGCGGUGGGAGCUGCUCCUGCUCACGCUGCCCAGGGAAGGAGAUGAACCCGCCCUGCGCGGGGGUUUCACACUCACAGCCUCGGUGCCUUCCAUGCUGGGGGAGUUUGAUAAACAAAGGAGCCAGGACAUUCUGGGAAGCUCCCAAGGUUUGCAUCACACUUCUGCCACAGCUGACUUGGACCCUCUGGAGCUGGAAGCGAGGCUUGGUGCAGGCAGUGGCUCUGAAAAGCAUUCUGAGGAUUUCCAGUAACCAGGUAAUUGAAGCAGACUGAGCACCCUGACAGCAGGAAAGGCAGCCUUAACCAGCAGGAGGAUGGGGGAGCCCAGCUGAACAUUUGGAUGUAAAAAUCUGGUGAAAUCUCAGCUUUUCCAAAGCUCAGUGUGGGCAGUGUGGUGCUUUUCAUGAGUGUGGAGUGCCUGGCCAGUGUUGAUCCUGUACAAGCUCCAAGGGAAGGGUGAGAGCUGUGAGCUCAGCGUGGUUUGAUCCAUCCAGCAGCUGCCCAAGGGACUUCCAGACAUGCCAGGCUCCAGGAGCAGCUUGUGGAGAGCAGCAGAGGGGCACAGAAUAAAAUUCCACAACUCUGGAGGCA